Molecule: ribosomal RNA, 1053 nt
Filed under: Triticum aestivum (bread wheat)
Lineage: Eukaryota; Viridiplantae; Streptophyta; Magnoliopsida; Poales; Poaceae
Description: partial small subunit ribosomal RNA
Source: RNAcentral
AUGGAGUGCGGCCAGUGCGGCGCGCGCUUCGCUGUCACACGGGGCGCGAGCUCCGCUCAGUGCGCGCACUGCCGCAGGGCGGCGCGUGUCGAACGGCACGGCGCCGUGCACGGGGCCGUCGGCUUCGUCAGGAACGUGUUCACCAACAUUGGCCGCACGAGGCCGCACCCGGGAUACCCGCCGGUGUACGGCAACAAGCGCGCUCUCUUGGUCGGCAUCAACUACACUGGAACGACGGCCGAACUGCCCGGCCCCAUCAACGAUGUCAAAUGCAUGAGCUUCCUGCUCACCCUCAAGUACGGCUUCCCAAGCGAUUGCAUCCUUGUCCUUACCGAUGAAGAGCGCGACCCGUACAGCAGGCCAACAAGGUCCAACAUCCUAGUGGCGAUGCGGUGGCUGGUGCAUGGAUGCAGCUCCGGGGACUCCCUCGUGUUCCACUUCUCCGGCCACGGCGAUCAGGAGGAAGACAAGGACGGCGACGAGCAGGACGGCCAAGACGAGGCCAUCUGCCCGCUAGACUGGCAGCUCAACGGCGCCAUCCUGGACGACGAGAUCAACGAGGCCAUCGUCCGCCCGCUCGCGCAGGGCGUCACGCUCCACGCCAUCAUCGAUGCCUGCCGCAGCGGCACCGUCCUUGAUCUCCCCAACCUUUUCCAGAUAAAAAAGAACGGGAAACCCCUGUGGAUGGAUCACAGCGCUCCAAAUGGCGCUUGGAAGAACACGAGCGGCGGUCACGCCAUCCUGAUCAGCGGCUGCACUGACGAUGAAGAUGCGCAGGAUGGUUACGGCCAUGAGACCAUGGCCAUGGGAGCCCUGACGUACAGCUUCUUCGCCGCGGCGUGGUUCGCGCAUCGGCCGCCCACCUACGGCUAGCUGCUUCAAAAGACAAAGGCGAUCCUCGUAGACUGCAACCGCGACAGCCAGAUCCACUGCGACCUCCCGGCGUCGAUCUUACCGCACGUCCGAAAGGUGGUGAACUUCAGUGGCGUGCAGGAACCUCAACUGUCUUCGUCCGACAAGUUCGACAUCAACCGGAAGACAUUUAUGCUAUAA